Molecule: non-coding RNA, 23 nt
Filed under: Cricetulus griseus (Chinese hamster)
Lineage: Eukaryota; Metazoa; Chordata; Mammalia; Rodentia; Cricetidae
Source: RNAcentral
AAUGGACAGGAUCUUGAAGGCUA